UAGAGGCUCUACGGGAGAACUCUC
RNAcentral lists this non-coding RNA (24 nucleotides) under Rattus norvegicus (Norway rat). Lineage: Eukaryota; Metazoa; Chordata; Mammalia; Rodentia; Muridae. The record is from RNAcentral.